RNAcentral lists this long non-coding RNA (1329 nucleotides) under Homo sapiens (human). Its description in RNAcentral is "long intergenic non-protein coding RNA 635". The record is from RNAcentral. Lineage: Eukaryota; Metazoa; Chordata; Mammalia; Primates; Hominidae.
AGCAGCGUAGCUGAACAUCUUACGGAUGGCCCAGGGCUCCAAAGGCUCGUUUCCUAAGUGAGAGAGAGCCUGGCUGAAGCUGUAUUACCAUUCAUUCUCCAGCCUCCGAAGUCUCAAAGCAUCACUUCCACCAUACUCUAACUGUCAAGACAAACACAAAGGCCCAGAGAAGGGGUCUCACUAUGUUGUCUGGAGUGCUGUGGUGGAGUGGAGUGGCUAUUCACAGCUGAGUUUGCAGAGUAAACCACUACCCUGAAAUCUGGAAAGGCAGGUGCACCCACAGAUCCUCAGCUGAGAUCCAAUUACCUGAAAUAGAAGCUGCCAUUAGGAACACUUAAAAGAGCCUGUUCUGCUGGGACACAGAAUCACUUGCUCCAUCUCAUACAUUGAUGAUGAUUAAUUUGUAUGUGUACCUUCCAAAAAAGAUGGUUGUGUUUGAAUGGAGGCCUUCUGGACAGGAAAAUAUGGAGAGUGCGUGCUUUGGAUUCAAGACUGGGAAUGAGGGGACCAGAAACCUAUUCUGUGGCUGUUUCUUGUUAGGACUUUCCUAAGCCUCUGGAAAAGUGCAAAGUACAAUUAACAUUUGAGUCUGUCUGAGUCAUGAAGAAAUGGAGAUUACUGAAAAUAAUUCAUUUUGGUAUCUUCUUACAUCCUGAGAGACUAAUCUUUCCAAGUUCAUCUGAGGCUCCUCUUCUCCAUGACAACCUCAUCCAGGGAUUUCUUCCUGUCCUGGUGUUUUAUGACAUGUAAGUGAAGACCCACAUGCUGCUUUGUAUAUUUUUGUCAAAAGAGGAAAAACUGUCUUGUCGAGGACAGGAACUAAAUUAUAUGCAGUAUUUCUUUAGAAGCCCAUUCAGCAUCUUAAAGUGUUAGGUACAGAGAAGGCCCUCCAUAAAAAUUUGCUAAAUUGAAACUAGGAGCAAACGUUAAGUCAAGAUCAAACUCAGGAAUAACUAUGGCUAUUAAUCAUCUUUUACCCAGAAUUUAAAUAAUUUCAUAAGUAUUGCCUGAAAUCUUUUUCUUUAUGUCAAUAGUAGCAUGUUUUACUGGUGGUAGGAUGUCUGGGGUGAAUAUCAAAGAUCUGGCCCAAGUUGUUCCUGGGAGCUGGGGGUUAGGGAGUAGGAGAGAAAGAUAUUUAACUCUUCCAAAUACCUAGUGGAUUAGGAUCCCACAGGGAACUACUGAAAAUGCAAAUGGGGCUGGGGUAGGGGCUCACACCUGUAAUCCCAGCACUCUGGGAGGCCGAGGCUGGCGGAUCACUUGAAGCCAGUAGUUCAAGACCAGCCUAGCCAACCUGGUGAAACCCUGUCUCUACUAAAAAUACAAAAA